Molecule: transfer RNA, 73 nt
Filed under: Ovis aries (sheep)
Lineage: Eukaryota; Metazoa; Chordata; Mammalia; Artiodactyla; Bovidae
Rfam family: tRNA
About the family: Transfer RNA (tRNA) molecules are approximately 80 nucleotides in length. Their secondary structure includes four short double-helical elements and three loops (D, anti-codon, and T loops).
Source: Rfam by way of RNAcentral
UUCCUGGUGGUCCAAUGGUUAAGACUCUGUGCUUCCACUGCAGGGGGCACAGGUUCGAUCCCUAGUCAGGGAA